RNAcentral lists this ribosomal RNA (675 nucleotides) under uncultured bacterium. RNAcentral's name for it is "bacterial SSU rRNA". It matches the Rfam family "Bacterial small subunit ribosomal RNA", at positions 138 to 807 of the family's 1533-position model. The record is from RNAcentral.
GGUGGAUAACCGGAAGAAAUUCCGACUAAUACAGCAUAACACUCCUGAGGGACAUCCUUCGGGAGUCAAAGGAGGUAACUCCGGUGACGGAUGGGCAUGCGGCGCAUUAGGUAGUUGGUAGGGUAACGGCCUACCAAGCCGACGAUGCGUAGGGGUUCUGAGAGGAAGGUCCCCCACAUUGGAACUGAGACACGGUCCAAACUCCUACGGGAGGCAGCAGUGAGGAAUAUUGGUCAAUGGCCGGAAGGCUGAACCAGCCAAGUCGCGUGAGGGAAUAAGGCCCUAUGGGUCGUAAACCUCUUUUGUCAGGGAGCAAAGGCGUCCACGUGUGGACGAGAGGAGAGUACCUGAAGAAAAAGCAUCGGCUAACUCCGUGCCAGCAGCCGCGGUAAUACGGAGGAUGCGAGCGUUAUCCGGAUUUAUUGGGUUUAAAGGGUGCGUAGGCGGAGUGUCAAGUCAGCGGUAAAAUUUCGGGGCUCAACCCCGUCGUGCCGUUGAAACUGACACCCUUGAGUGAGUGAGAAGUAAGCGGAAUGCGUGGUGUAGCGGUGAAAUGCAUAGAUAUCACGCAGAACGCCGAUUGCGAAGGCAGCUUACCGGCGCUCAACUGACGCUGAGGCACGAAAGUGCGGGUAUCGAACAGGAUUAGAUACCCUGGUAGUCCGCACAGUAAAC